GGGAUUAGGUGUGAGGCCCACUCCAUAUCGAAUUUCAACGAUCCGAACCGUCUAUUUUAUAAGUCUCGAUUCAUAGAUCUUCCUUACAAAAAUUCAAUUCAAUCCAAUACCAUUUUCCUAUUUAAUUAUCAAGAUCAAAUUUCUUUGAACUCAAUUAGAUGUCUUAAAUAUUUCUGAUUUGACUAAUAUUUUGCAAGGAUGAUCUAUGAGGUACAACUUGAAAAAUAAACGGUUCAAAUCGUUAAAGUUCAAUGUGGUGUGAACCUCACAACUAAUCCCCAUUUUUAUAUAAAAAAUAGGGAUCGCGUCCCUUAAAGGUUUCCUAUAUAUAUAUAAAUGGUUCUUUAUAUAAAAAAUAGGGAUCUCGUCCCUUAAUGGUCCUAUAUAUAUAUAUAUAUAUAUAUAUAUUAUUGAGCACAUUUUAGUAAUAUAUAUGUGCAAUUAUAUUUUAUUAUAUCAAAUAUAGAUAAAUUAAUAUUGAAUCAAAUAACAUUUUAUUUAUUUAUUUUGUAGGUAAAUUAUUUUGCAUGUAUUAUUACAUAUACCGGGAAUAUUUUAAGAUAAUUUAGCCAAAAGUCAACAAAAACUUUACAAUUUAAUCAUAUAUCAAUGACAUAUUUUUGUUUUGAAAUUAAUCAAUGAUAUAUUUUUAUUAAUUAGAGAUAGGUCAAUAAUGAAUGUCACAUGUGCUUUAUGUCAUUACCAAUGGGGAUGAAGGACAUGGUGAGAAGAGCAAUCACCAGUGCAGGGAGGGCAAGCAGAAGAGGAGGAAGAAGAAAAGUGGGAGACAGUGACUAAGCCUUCCAUGAAGUGGCAGUAUAGAGGUGGGCCCAGUAUGUACCUGCCUACGCACAUCCCACCUAUCACCAACCCUGCCUUCACUAUCAACGGACUCAUCGCUAUCUCUCUCUCCUCAGCUUCUAAAUUUGAAUUGGAAUUAGCAGAAUUGGGAAUCGGUGACGUCGAUUCUCAAUGGUUCGACUGCCGGUGUUUAGUUGGGACUUGUGGAGAUCAAAGACAUGUGCUUUCUCAUAUAUGAAAGGCUGUGUAGUUCUGUAACUUCUUAAGGUCUUUACAUCUGUAAAGCACAAUGGGGUGAUGAUAUUGUAAAGUCAAUGUUUGAAGAAAGAAUUCAUUAAGUCAGGAAAACAUUUAGAUACCAAUGAUGAAACUUGAGUAGGAUAAAAAAAUAUUUUUUUGUAGUCGACUUGAUGCAUCAAAGAGGAAACAGUUUCGCAAAUUCUUGGAGCUUGACAAUUUCGAUUGCUAAUUAAGCAAUUGAAACUGUUUGGAUUUUUUUUCUCACCCCUUUCAUGAAACUGUUUGCGUACACAUUCGUGUUUUUUCAACCAUCAUUUAGGCGCCUAUAACGCGAAAACAGACAUUGUGGUCAACAAUUCAAAAUCAGAAAAUGCAGACUUCUAGGAUCAACAAUUGAAAACCAAAACAGAAAACGAACAUUGUGUUGCAGUGUCUGAAUCCAAAUGUAAAAAACAAAACAUGAAAUGAACAUUGCGUUGCAAUGUCUAAAUCCAAAUGUAGAAAUCAAGAGUCACGCGAGGUGUUAAGCAUAGAACGCAUGUGAGUGAUGCAAAAAAUAGAACCAGGAAACGGACACUUCAACACAGUGUCUGAAUCGAAAAAUAAAAAAACAAUACCAGGUAACAGAUACUACAUUACAAUGUUUGAAUCCAAAUGUAAAAAGGGGCACGUAUGAGGCAUGUGAGUGAUGGAAAAAACAAAACUAUGAAAUGGACACUGCAACACAGUGUCUAAAUUCAAAUGUAAAAAACAGAAUUAGGAAAUAUGAGACAUCUGGUGUCGGUUGAAGUGGGUGCCAGCUGUAAUGUCAGAUUUUGUAAUUUUUGUUUAUUUUAAAUGUAUUUAAGUGUCACAAAUAUAUGAUUGACCUAUUUAUAAUUAACAUAAAUAUUGUUGAUCUAUUGUCAAUAUGGUAACUUUGUAUUGAUUUUAUACAAAAUCACCCAAUAUUUUAUUACUAACACAUAUGUCCAAAUAAUUUACCUAUAUUUUUAUGUAAAUUACUCCAUAGUCCCUUUUUAGUUUUCAUUUGGUAAGAAAAUGACAAGAUUAAAUUAAAAUUGUCUAAUUUCAUGCAAAUUUGGAAAACAAUUAUGAAAUCUAAAGGAAAGUUUAACAUUAAUGUUUAUUUAUUUAUUAACAUACAAUUUGUUAUGAUAUAUUAAUAUGCAAUGAAUUUAAAUAUUAAUACAUUUUUUUCAUUAAUCCCUCCCUUCAAAU
Molecule: long non-coding RNA, 2262 nt
Filed under: Malus domestica (apple)
Lineage: Eukaryota; Viridiplantae; Streptophyta; Magnoliopsida; Rosales; Rosaceae
Description: long non-coding RNA (MDOM_LNC012213)
Source: RNAcentral